GUCGAGAAUAAUUCACAAUGGACGAAAGUCUGAUGGUGCAACGCCGCGUGGAGGAUGACGGUCUUCGGAUUGUAAACUCCUGUCAUCCGGGAGUAAGACCUGGCUGUGAAUAGCAGACAGGGUUGAUAGUACCGGAAGAGGAAGGGACGGCUAACUUCGUGCCAGCAGCCGCGGUAAUACGAAGGUCCCGAGCGUUGUUCGGAAUCACUGGGCGUAAAGGGAGCGUAGGCGGCGUGGUAAGUCAGAUGUGAAAUCCCGGGGCUCAACCCCGGAACUGCAUCCGAUACUGCCGUGCUAGAGGAUUGGAGAGGUAGCUGGAAUUCUUGGUGUAGCAGUGAAAUGCGUGGAGAUCAAGAGGAACACUCGUGGCGAAAGCGAGCUACUGGACAAUAUCUGACGCUGAGGCUCGAAGGCCAGGGUAGCGAAAGGGAUUAGAAACCCUGUAGUCC
This 449-nucleotide ribosomal RNA is filed under the name uncultured bacterium. Its description in RNAcentral is "partial 16S ribosomal RNA". It matches the Rfam family "Bacterial small subunit ribosomal RNA", at positions 354 to 796 of the family's 1533-position model. The record is from RNAcentral.